AGUGAACGCUGGCGGUAGGCCUAACACAUGCAAGUCGAACGGCAGCACAGUGAGAGCUUGCUCUUACGGGUGGCGAGUGGCGGACGGGUGAGGAAUACAUCGGAAUCUACUUUUUCGUGGGGGAUAACGUAGGGAAACUUACGCUAAUACCGCAUACGACCUACGGGUGAAAGCAGGGGAUCUUCGGACCUUGCGCGAUUGAAUGAGCCGAUGUCGGAUUAGCUAGUUGGCGGGGUAAAGGCCCACCAAGGCGACGAUCCGUAGCUGGUCUGAGAGGAUGAGCAGCCACACUGGAACUGAGACACGGUCCAGACUCCUACGGGAGGCAGCAGUGGGGAAUAUUGGACAAUGGGCGCAAGCCUGAUCCAGCCAUACCGCGUGGGUGAAGAAGGCCUUCGGGUUGUAAAGCCCUUUUGUUGGGAAAGAAAAGCAGCAGGUUAAUACCCCGCUGUUCUGACGGUACCCAAAGAAUAAGCACCGGCUAACUUCGUG
This 492-nucleotide ribosomal RNA is filed under the name uncultured bacterium. RNAcentral's name for it is "partial 16S ribosomal RNA". It matches the Rfam family "Bacterial small subunit ribosomal RNA", at positions 29 to 507 of the family's 1533-position model. The record is from RNAcentral.